Long non-coding RNA from Acinonyx jubatus (cheetah), 1625 nucleotides. RefSeq lists it as uncharacterized. NCBI's taxonomy places the organism in Eukaryota, Metazoa, Chordata, Mammalia, Carnivora, Felidae. The record is from RefSeq and is a predicted model, not a curated record. The transcript has 3 exons.
CAGGGACCAGUAGAGAGGAGGCCAUUGUCUGAGCAACAACUCUGAGGUGACAGUAAAAGAUUUGAAAUCGCCAACGACUGUAAUGACAAGAAUGAGCCCCUGAGGUAGAAUCUCUAGGUCAGCAGCAUCCCUUGUCUAUCAGGCCCUGAAAUGGGCAUUAGCCUCUGACACAGAUGGGCUCUGCAGCCCAGUCUCUGAAGAGCAAUGGAUGUUUAUGCGACAUGAGAUCAAACUGCAGUGUAUUCGAUGGAAGGGGCUGGUAUUUACUUCAAACAUAUACCUACUCUGGACUGGGCACUCCCAUACCAGCCCUUCUUACACUUGCCAUCUUGUAUGGUUUUGGAGUACACCUCCAGAAGACACUGCCUGUGCAGAGACUGCGAGAAAAUGGCGCCCCCUAAGAGAAAGUCACAGGAACAUGUCUUUUUUGCCUCAUCGUUGUAUGCCUCAAUGCCUGCAACAGCGCCUGGCACACAGCAGGGCUCUGAUGGUCACCUGUGGUGAGGAGGCAGAGUGGAGUCCCCGGGGUCACCUGGGCGCUGCCCAUUGGUGCUGACCACAAGGAAGCCAGUCCCCAGGCAGCAUGCAGAAGAGAAGGAGAGAAAGAAACACACAUGAAAACGUGUGGCACAGUGAACAAAACCAUAGUUCUUGUGGCUCUGAAGAGCUCACACUAAACAGCAAAAGAACAUCGUGAUCUAACACAACAAGGCCUGAAAAAGAUUUUUAAAAAUGAAACGAGAAUAAGAUUCAGCAUUUAUCAAGGCCCCACGACAUGCCAGGUACCUCACACACAAUGUUUCUGAGACUGAGAGCAUCCCAGAAAGGUCAGUUUUAUUACAAAUGAACGCAUCAUCUUUCCACUUGGUGUCUUCUCUCCCAGUCCCUGCUUUCUUAGUAAAUGGUGGCCCCACCCACGUAGCGCCUUGGUCUAGCAAUCUGGGAGUCAUCCUUUACCCCUCCUUUUUACUGACCUCCCACUUCUAAUUACUCAGCAUGCUUUAGUCAUUAUAUUCCAGGAAGGUUCUGGAAGCCUCUUCCUCCUCCUUCUCUCCAAUUUCAUUUCCUCUUGGUUGAGGCCACCCUCAUAUUUCACUGGGGAUUACCUAAGCAGCCUCCUGUUGGUCUUCCUGUCUCCGGUGUUGCCCCCUAUCAAUCCACUCUCCACCCUUCAGCUGAAGGGCAUGAGAAAGGUAAAUGUCAAAUCCCCUCCACCAGCUCGCAGACCCUCAAUGACAGAUCCUUGCCUGUUGGUCCACACUCUCUGCCCAAAGGGCAAUGAAAUCUUCUCUGUUAUCAACAGCCCCCUACCUUCUUAUCUGUAGGCCUUACCCAGCCUCAUCACCUCGUGUGGAAUGCACUCCCUUCCUGCCCCUUUACCUGUCUGGCAACUGUUCAUCCUUCAGGAAAUCAGUUUGGAAUUCCUUUAUUGGGAGUCUUGAGCAUCUCACCAUGUAUGGAGAAGAUGGCCCGCUCUGUUUUCUCAUCACACCCUAGUCUUCCCUUUAUACAGUGAUAACCUUCCCGUGUUAUUAAUGGCUGACUUCUCCUUGAUUCUGUAAAUUCCUUGAAGGUAGUCACAGCGUUCCAUUUACUAGGCAAUCUCGUACCCGGCAUGUAGUAAG